This 584-nucleotide ribosomal RNA is filed under the name Pichia kluyveri. Its description in RNAcentral is "eukaryotic LSU rRNA". It matches the Rfam family "Eukaryotic large subunit ribosomal RNA", at positions 66 to 668 of the family's 3401-position model. Lineage: Eukaryota; Fungi; Ascomycota; Pichiomycetes; Pichiales; Pichiaceae. The record is from RNAcentral.
CAACGGGGAUUGCCUUAGUAGCGGCGAGUGAAGCGGCAAGAGCUCAGAUUUGAAAUCUCACCUAGUGUGCGAGUUGUAAAUUGCAGGUUGGAGUCUCGGGUUAGACGUGUGUGCAAGUCCCUUGGAACAGGGUGCCACUGAGGGUGAGAGCCCCGUAUCGUGCAUGUCGACACCUGUGAGGCCCUUCUGACGAGUCGAGUUGUUUGGGAAUGCAGCUCUAAGUGGGUGGUAAAUUCCAUCUAAGGCUAAAUAUUGGCGAGAGACCGAUAGCGAACAAGUACUGUGAAGGAAAGAUGAAAAGCACUUUGAAAAGAGAGUGAAACAGCACGUGAAAUUGUUGAAAGGGAAGGGUAUUGGGCUCGACAUGGGAUUUACGCAUCGUUGCCUCUCGUGGGCGGCGCUCUGGGUUUUUCCUGGGCCAGCAUCGGUUUUCGUUGCAGGAUAAGGACAAUUGGAAUGUGGCUCCUCGGAGUGUUAUAGCCUUUUGUAGAUGCUGCGUAUGGGGACCGAGGGCUGCGGCGGACUCGUUUCGUCUCGGAUGCUGGCACAACGGCGCAAUACCGCCCGUCUUGAAACACGGACCA